Molecule: long non-coding RNA, 647 nt
Organism: Lepidothrix coronata (blue-crowned manakin)
Lineage: Eukaryota; Metazoa; Chordata; Aves; Passeriformes; Pipridae
Exons: 4
Source: RefSeq, a predicted model, not a curated record
UUUUCCUGCUGUGCGAUAUUUACUGUCUUACAGCCUGUAUCUACAGUCCUGCAGCACAGCGAAAAGAAAUCCUGAUCAUGUUAAACUCCGACAAUUUCACUUUUGCUGUGGGAACAUGAUGGGCUAUUUUCUAUUUCCUCAGAAACUCGUUGGAAUUUACCUUGGAAUUCAUGUGAGAGCUUCAGGUUCAAACUUAGUAAUGAAGACAAUUUCUGCCCUGAGAAACUGGAUGUUGACUUGAUCAAACUUAAUGAUGGAAAACACCUGAGACCAAUGAGCCCUGAACGACAACUCCUGUGUCCUCCAGCUGUGGGUUCUGCCAAGGACUCGUAGAGCUGAGGAUGGACAUGGAAUGAUGCCUUAUGAAACAAGUUUAAAGCAUUCUAGUAUGAGAUCUACCUCGUUUAAUUUUUCCUUGCAUCGCCUUUGGCUGUCCUCUGAACUCUCUUCUCUUUGAGAUCUGUCCAUCUCUGAGUGCAGUGGUUACAACUGGACCCUGUCUCCCAGCUGAAGACUCCCCAGUGAAAACAGAGCAGAAAAAAUGACUUCCCUGACUACAGAUGACACUGCCAAAGCCAGGCCCACUUAAGGUGCUUUGUUUGCAGCCAGGCCUUUGACUCCUGAUAAUUCCACGGUCACUGCCAUCC